Molecule: non-coding RNA, 928 nt
Filed under: Leiocephalus barahonensis
Lineage: Eukaryota; Metazoa; Chordata; Lepidosauria; Squamata; Leiocephalidae
Description: 12S small subunit ribosomal RNA
Rfam family: Bacterial small subunit ribosomal RNA
Source: RNAcentral
UAAAGUUUUGGUCCUAAACUUACUGUUAUUUUUNAUCAAAUUUACACAUGCAAGUACCAGCACACCAGUGAGAAUGCCCAACAAAUUACAGGAGCAGGCAUCAGGCACAGUUAAUCUAGCCCAAGACGCCUUGUUUUACCACACCCACACGGGCAACCAGCAGUGAUAAACAUUAAGCAAUAAGCGCCAAGCUUGACUUAGUUAUGAACAAUAGGGCCGGUAAACCUCGUGCCAGCCACCGCGGUUAUACGAGGGGCUCAAAAUAACAGAUACUCGGCGUAAAUCGUGGCUAGAAUUACUUCCAAACUACAAAGAAAACAAAUAAAACCAAAAGGUAAAAUUAUGGUCAACAGAAUAACAACAUCUUAUAAAUAGGAAAUUUGACCCCACGAAGACUAAGAAACAAACUAGGAUUAGAUACCCUACUAUGCUUAGUUCUAAAUAAGAUUGAUUUAACAAUAAUAUCCGCCAGGGAACUACAAGCGAAAAGCUUAAAACCCAAAGGACUUGGCGGUGCUCCACAUCGACUUAGAGGAGCCUGUCCUAUAAUCGAUACUCCACGAUAAACCUUACCGCCCUUGGCCCAAUGAGCCUAUAUACCGCCGUCGCAAACUUACUCCAUGAGGAUAUAACAGUAAGUACAAAAGUUAGACAACUAAUACGUCAGGUCAAGGUGUAGCUUAUAGGGCGGCAGUGAUGGGCUACAUUUUUUAAGAUAAAACACACGACAAGAGGCCAUGAAAUAGGCCACCGAAGGUGGAUUUAAUAGUAAGCCUAGCAAGAAAGCUAACCUUAAACUCGCACUGGAGCGCGCACACACCGCCCGUCACCCUCCUCAACAAAGUAUCAAUAAUCUAUAAUACCUAACAACAAACAAGAUGAGGCAAGUCGUAACAUGGUAAGCGCACCGGAAGGUGUGCUUGGACUA